This 440-nucleotide ribosomal RNA is filed under the name uncultured bacterium. RNAcentral's name for it is "partial 16S ribosomal RNA". It matches the Rfam family "Bacterial small subunit ribosomal RNA", at positions 338 to 795 of the family's 1533-position model. The record is from RNAcentral.
CCUACGGGAGGCAGCAGUGGGGGAUAUUGCACAAUGGGGGGAACCCUGAUGCAGCGACGCCGCGUGGGUGAAGAAGCGCCUCGGCGCGUAAAGCUCUGUCAGUAGGGAAGAAAAUGACGGUAACUGAAGAUUAAGCCCUUGCUAACUACGUGCCAGAAGCCGCGGUAAUACGUAGGGGGCAAGCGUUAUCCGGAUUUACUGGGUGAAAAGGGGGCGCAGACGGUGAUGCAAGCCAGGAGUGAAAGCGCGGGGCCCAACCCCGGGACUGCUCUUGGAACUGCGUGGCUGGAGUGCAGGAGGGGAAGGCGGAAUUCCAGGUGUAGCGGUGAAAUGCGUAGAUAUCAGGAGGAACACCGGUGGCGAAGGCGGCCUGCUGGACUGCAACUGACGUUGAGGCUCGAAAGCGUGGGGAGCAAACAGGAUUAGAUACCCUUGUAGUC